This 497-nucleotide ribosomal RNA is filed under the name uncultured bacterium. Its description in RNAcentral is "partial 16S ribosomal RNA". It matches the Rfam family "Bacterial small subunit ribosomal RNA", at positions 28 to 507 of the family's 1533-position model. The record is from RNAcentral.
GAUGAACGCUGGCGGCGUGCCUAAUACAUGCAAGUCGAGCGAACAGAUGAGGAGCUUGCUCCUCUGACGUUAGCUGCGGACGGGUGAGUAACACGUGGAUAACCUACCUAUAAGACUGGGAUAACUUCGGGAAACCGGAGCUAAUACCGGAUAAUAUAUUGAACCGCAUGGUUCAAUAGUGAAAGACGGUUUUGCUGUCACUUAUAGAUGGAUCCGCGCCGCAUUAGCUAGUUGGUAAGGUAACGGCUUACCAAGGCAACGAUGCGUAGCCGACCUGAGAGGGUGAUCGGCCACACUGGAACUGAGACACGGUCCAGACUCCUACGGGAGGCAGCAGUAGGGAAUCUUCCGCAAUGGGCGAAAGCCUGACGGAGCAACGCCGCGUGAGUGAUGAAGGUCUUCGGAUCGUAAAACUCUGUUAUUAGGGAAGAACAAAUGUGUAAGUAACUAUGCACGUCUUGACGGUACCUAAUCAGAAAGCCACGGCUAACUACGUG